GUUAAAAAGCUCGUAGUUGGAUUUCUGCGGGGGCGGGGCGGCCGGAUGCUUAUAGCAUCUCGAGCUAGCACUUCCCCCGCAUCCUGCCGCGAACCGUGCUACCAUUAGUUUGGUGGCGCUGGGGAUCGGCUCGUUUACUUUGAGAAAAAUAGAGUGUUCAAAGCAGGCCACACGCCUUGAAUAGUUAGCAUGGAAUAAUGAUAAAGGACUUCGGUUCUAUUUUGUUGGUGUUCGGGACUGAAGUAAUGAUUGAUAGGGACAGUUGGGGCGGUCAGUAUUCCAAAGCGAGAGGUGAAAUUCUUAGACCUUCGGAAGACUAACAGCUGCGAAAGCGUUCCGCAAGGAUGUUCCCUUUGAUCAAGAACGAAAGUUGGGGGAUCGAAGACGAUCUGAUACCGUCGUAGUCUCAACUAUAAACUAUACCAGCUAGGGAUCGGCCGACGUUUACUUAUAUCGACUCGGUCGGCACCUUAUGAGAAAUCAAAGCAUCUGGGUUCCGGGGGGAGUAUGGUC
This 513-nucleotide ribosomal RNA is filed under the name uncultured marine eukaryote. RNAcentral's name for it is "bacterial SSU rRNA". It matches the Rfam family "Eukaryotic small subunit ribosomal RNA", at positions 618 to 1130 of the family's 1831-position model. The record is from RNAcentral.